GGAUUAGAUACCCUGGUAGUCCACGCCGUAAACGAUGUCGACUAGCCGUUGGGGUCCUUGAGGCCUUAGUGGCGCAGCUAACGCGAUAAGUCGACCGCCUGGGGAGUACGGCCGCAAGGUUAAAACUCAAAUGAAUUGACGGGGGCCCGCACAAGCGGUGGAGCAUGUGGUUUAAUUCGAAGCAACGCGAAGAACCUUACCAGGUCUUGACAUCCUGAGAACUUUCUAGAGAUAGAUUGGUGCCUUCGGGAACUCAGAGACAGGUGCUGCAUGGCUGUCGUCAGCUCGUGCCG
This 293-nucleotide ribosomal RNA is filed under the name uncultured bacterium. RNAcentral describes it as "partial 16S ribosomal RNA". It matches the Rfam family "Bacterial small subunit ribosomal RNA", at positions 775 to 1067 of the family's 1533-position model. The record is from RNAcentral.